Molecule: ribosomal RNA, 1345 nt
Filed under: uncultured bacterium
Lineage: Bacteria
Description: bacterial SSU rRNA
Rfam family: Bacterial small subunit ribosomal RNA
Source: RNAcentral
GAUGAACGCUAGCGGGAGGCCUAACACAUGCAAGCCGAGCGGUAUUGUUUCUUCGGAAAUGAGAGAGCGGCGUACGGGUGCGGAACACGUGUGCAACCUGCCUUUAUCUGGGGGAUAGCCUUUCGAAAGGAAGAUUAAUACUCCAUAAUAUAUUGAACGGCAUCGUUUAAUAUUGAAAGCUCCGGCGGAUAGAGAUGGGCACGCGCAAGAUUAGCUAGUUGGUGAGGUAACGGCUCACCAAGGCGAUGAUCUUUAGGGGGCCUGAGAGGGUGAUCCCCCACACUGGUACUGAGACACGGACCAGACUCCUACGGGAGGCAGCAGUGAGGAAUAUUGGUCAAUGGGUGCAAGCCUGAACCAGCCAUCCCGCGUGAAGGACGACUGCCCUAUGGGUUGUAAACUUCUUUUGUAUAGGGAUAAACCUACCCUCGUGAGGGUAGCUGAAGGUACUAUACGAAUAAGCACCGGCUAACUCCGUGCCAGCAGCCGCGGUAAUACGGAGGGUGCAAGCGUUAUCCGGAUUUAUUGGGUUUAAAGGGUCCGUAGGCGGACUUAUAAGUCAGUGGUGAAAGCCUGUCGCUUAACGAUAGAACUGCCAUUGAUACUGUAAGUCUUGAGUAUAUUUGAGGUAGCUGGAAUAAGUAGUGUAGCGGUGAAAUGCAUAGAUAUUACUUAGAACACCAAUUGCGAAGGCAGGUUACCAAGAUAUAACUGACGCUGAGGGACGAAAGCGUGGGGAGCGAACAGGAUUAGAUACCCUGGUAGUCCACGCCGUAAACGAUGCUAACUCGUUUUUGGGCUUUAGGGUUCAGAGACCAAGCGAAAGUGAUAAGUUAGCCACCUGGGGAGUACGCUCGCAAGAGCGAAACUCAAAGGAAUUGACGGGGGCCCGCACAAGCGGUGGAUUAUGUGGUUUAAUUCGAUGAUACGCGAGGAACCUUACCAAGACUUAAAUGGGAAUUGACAGCUUUAGAAAUAGAGCUUUCUUCGGACAAUUUUCAAGGUGCUGCAUGGUUGUCGUCAGCUCGUGCCGUGAGGUGUUAGGUUAAGUCCUGCAACGAGCGCAACCCCUGUCACUAGUUGCCAUCAUUCAGUUGGGGACUCUAGUGAGACUGCCUACGCAAGUAGAGAGGAAGGUGGGGAUGACGUCAAAUCAUCACGGCCCUUACGUCUUGGGCCACACACGUAAUACAAUGGCCGGUACAGAGGGCAGCUACACAGCGAUGUGAUGCAAAUCUCGAAAGCCGGUCUCAGUUCGGAUUGGAGUCUGCAACUCGACUCUAUGAAGCUGGAAUCGCUAGUAAUCGCGCAUCAGCCAUGGCGCGGUGAAUACGUUCCCGGGCCU